Molecule: long non-coding RNA, 298 nt
Organism: Hyla sarda
Lineage: Eukaryota; Metazoa; Chordata; Amphibia; Anura; Hylidae
Exons: 4
Source: RefSeq, a predicted model, not a curated record
ACAGGUGACUGAUGCCGAGUGAGAAGGUAUACCUGACACAUACCCCCAUCAGCUGCAAUAAAGGAACCACGAGACAGGUGACUGAUGCCGAGUGAGAAGUUAUACCUGACACAUACCCCCGUCAGCUGCAAUAAAGGAACCACGAGACAGGUGACUGAUGCCAAGUGAGAAGGUAUACCUGACACGUACCCCCGUCAGCUGCAAUAAAGGAACCACGAGACAGGUGACUGAUGCCGAGUGAGAAGGUAUACCUGACACAUACCCCCAUCAGCUGCAAUAAAGGAACCACGAGACAGGU